GACUAUGUUAAUCAGAGAUUUUGUUUUCUUGUUUUAAAGUCACAACCUUAUACUUCAAUAUUGCAAAAACGACUUCCUAAUACAAAGACUUUAUAGUCUUGCACUACAAACAAUUUUUUCUGUUAUUAUUUAAGAAAAUGUGAAGAACUCAGUCCAUUCAUGUUUUGUAUCUUAAGUAAUCAUCCACAAUACAUAAAAUUCAUAGUUAUUAGAGAAUCGGCUUCAUAAUAUACAGGGUUGGAGAUGCUUUGGCAAUAAUGACAACUUAUCCAUUAGCUCUUAUAAAUUAUAUUUAUAAAUUUAUAAUUUAGCUCUUAUAAAAAAUAAAUGGCAGGAAAACCUGGAGAUCAAGAAGGUUUCAGAGGGGUGAUUCAAAUAAAGGAAUGGUUUUGAGUUUACUCAGGUACUCCUGUAUGUACAUCCAUAUAUAAAAUUCAGACUAAAACCAUAAAUGAAAAAGAAGUCUCAAUAUAGGAAGAAGGGAAAAGAGGUGAUGUGGUUAUCUUAGCAUAUUUUUAAAUGCUGAAUUAUAAAACCAUAGUAAAUCAUUAAAUUGGUUCUUGCUUAAAUCUAUCUGUAAGCUCUAUAGAAGUUCUAUAGAAAAAUACUACUAUGGAUUCUAAAGUGAAUUUAAUGAUUUAAUAAGAGUAGGGCCAAGGGGGCUAAAGGCUCAAAUAUUCUGAGUAUUUUUAAGCGCUCUAGACAAAAAAGUUUCAAUUGGUUCUCUAUGCUAAAAAGAGGAAUAACUCAGCCCACAGACAAGUAAGAUUUUUACACCAACAGAAAGAUAAUCUACCCUAGUUAUCCAGUACAUAUCAUAAGUAUAUUUAAGCUUGUCAUAUUUUCAAGGGUAGUUUGUGUUUUUACAUUCCUGAAAAUAAUCUAAAAAUAUGUUGGGGGGAUAAUUUAAGCUUUCAAAUAUGUCUUUGUAAUUUGCCAUUGUGUAUUUAAAAUGAAAAACUGGGAUCCCUGGGUGGCGCAGAGGUUUGGUGCCUGCCUUUGGCCCAGGGCGCAAUCCCAGAGACCCGGGAUCAAAUCCCACAUCGGGCUCCCGGUGCAUGGAGCCUGCUUCUCCCUCUGCCUGUGUCUCUGCCCCUCUCUCUCUCUCUCUCUCUGUGACUAUCAUAAAUAAAAAAAAAUUUUUUUUAAAAAAAUGAAAAACUGGAAGCAACAAAUAUUUUGCAUGUCACAUCCAAGUUUUCCCCCAAAAUAAUAAAGUGUGACACUGAGAAAUUCCAGUAACUUUUCUUCUAUAAAUCUAUGUAUUUUGUAUAAUAUUUUUAGGUUUUGUUUUAUUUUUAUGCUAGAAACUACUCUUUUGUUAUAUGGCAUUCAGUCUGUCAGGAUAUCCCUAUGUACACAGAUGCUUCAUAAAUAUUAGAAAAUCAAAGACAAACAUAGCUAGAUGGCCAUAUAUACUAAAUUUGAAGGAACAUCAUGCAAAGUGUAUAUAUCGUUAUUAUUUGGGGUUUCUACAAACUAUAGCUAAGCAUGAAUAUUUUCAACUUAAAAUCUUUGUAUGCAACUUAUUAAAUAUGGCAUUCUUUAGCUACUAAAAUCACAUAACCAUAAUCAACAGGAUAGUGGUGACAACACAAGUUUUAAGAAGAGACAUGGACUGUGUCAAGGUAGAUUUUGUCCUCCAUCUUUUAUUUUCUAACAAAGAUGACCAUUAUAACAAAGGAAAAUGUGUUGAAUGAAAAAAAAAGUAUAGAUUUCAGGUCAAAAAUCCCCAAAUUUAGAUCCUAAUGUUUAAUCUCUUUUGAAUCACAAUUUAUUGAAUUUGUUUUUUUAGCUCUAACUUAAUUACACAAUGUGAUUUUUUUCACCUGUUUAAAUUUACUUCUCCUGAAAGGAUAAAGCCAACAAAGGAAAAGGCUUUCCAAACAUACAGAGUUCCAGGAGAGAAAGUAGUGGGUAGAUUUGAAUUGAGGGUUAAGGCUCAAAGAAUAAGUUAAAAAUAUCAUUCAAUCAAAACUACUUUUAUUCAUGACGAGGUACUAUGUUGGGGACAGACAUACUUUACCUUCUUUCAACAGUCCCAAUAGAGACAGAUUUCUCCAUUUGUUUUAUUUUCCUUAGGACUGGAAUAGAUCACUGUUUCUUCACAGAGUACUAUAUCUAGGUAACUUUUGAUGUGCAUUUAAGGGGCACAGUGUAUAAAAUUACUUAUAUGUAAACUUUAGAAUCACACUGGGCAUGGCAAGAUGUUCACAUGAAAGAAGCACAGGGGAUUUAGUAGAACAGAAUCUCACUCCUCAUCUCAGCCUGACUUUAGCAAAUAAGAUCACUAAAGAACUGGAAGGUAGAAAUGACUCUCUGUUCUUUAUUCUUUACCUUUUCUCUCCAUCUCUUUCUUUCCUUGUUCCUUUAUUAACUGGAGAGAGUAAAUUUGAAAAGAUAAAUUUGAAUUUAAUGCACAUCAUUAAGGUUACUUUUAUUGGGUCUGCGAGGUAGUGGAAAACACAGUAAGAAUAGAUAUGAGAAAGGUAAAUUGGGGACAGAUCAUAAACACUGAAUAUCAAGAUUGGACUCUAUUUUAUAGAUAAUGGGGAAUAUUUUUAUCCACAUGAGAGACUAAACAGAGCUGUGUUUCAGUACGGUGAAUCUUUAGAAUCAAAUGAGGAAGUAUAGAUGAAAGAAAAUGCCAGACUGAACCAAGCUUGACAUUGAGGAGGAAAAAAGACAUGAUGGAUAUAUUGUUACCUAUACUUAAAACAACUGUUUUAAAUCCCCAGAAGUCUUUUCUCCAUCAUAAAAUAAUAAUAUUAAACUAAAUAACUACUGUAGCAUCUCUCCAAAUUGAGUAUUUAGAAAUGUGCUUAAGUCACAAGGUGAAAAACAUACAAUAUACUAAACAUUGUAUUAUAACUUCCUUAUCCCCAAAGGAUAAAUGGUUUGAAAAAUGUCUACAGUACAAAGUUAAAUUGCACCAUUAUUCAUAGAGUAUUUUGUGGGCUAUGAAAAUAAUGUAUUUGAGGAAGAUCAACACACUCACAAAAAUACACACACAGAGAAGUUACAAGACUUGUUAUUGUCAUGGCAAUGGCCUAGAUUCACUACGGAAUUGUCUCUUAAAAAUAGUAACAAUAGAAUUUUCUUCUUUAACUUUGUUGAAAUAACUAAUAGGUCCCUUCAAUUACCAGGAAACCAAGAUUCAUAGGAUCAGAUUUUGCAUAAUUUUUCUUUUUAUCUGCAGCUUCCAAAACAAAAUGUAAUACACUAUCUAUUGAUUUGGUUUAGUUCUUAAGCAAGGCCUGAAUUAUAACUACUUAACCGUUCUCCAAGGAUUCAGCCAGAUUAAGAGAGAUCCAAGAGUGGCUAUGUUGUCAAAAAGUGCUAGACGGUUCUUUUGAAAUAAUCUAACUCAGGCUAACAUUUAAGAGUUUUGAAAAUGGAAAUUCUAUCAUCAUCACUCAAAGAUUCCAGUAACAGCCCUUCCCCAUCUGACAUGCCAGCACUUAGUGGUCCCUGAAAAUAGAAAGAAGAGAAACAAAAUAGAAUAAAGAGAACAAGUGCAGUAACUAUGAUGAUAUUAUCAUGGAACUUUCCAAUGUAUUGGCCUGCUAUUUAUUGGACACUGUACUAGGCUCUUUAUAAAUAUCUUGACAACCACCAGAGAGAAUUAUUUCCAUUUUAUAGAAGAUGGUUCAGCAGAUCAAAAAGCUCAAGUUAUAAUGCUAGGUGGGGUUACAGCACUGGAGUUCAAAUCCAGGACUGUCUGAUUUCCAAACUUAAUUUAGUUGAAUUCUGCAAUGUUCUCCACACAACACAAGGUUAAGGAGUAACACUGAAAUAUUAUAGCAUCACAUCUAAGCAAAGCUCCGGCUCUUAGAUGGCUAGAACGUAAAGUUGCCUAGUCUGUUAUAAAUAUUCCAUUCAUCAGUGAUCAUUAAGAAGCGAUCAUAUAACUGGAAAUAUGCAAUAC
This 3928-nucleotide long non-coding RNA is filed under the name Canis lupus familiaris (dog). Its description in RNAcentral is "lncRNA (ENSCAFG00000056179.1)". Lineage: Eukaryota; Metazoa; Chordata; Mammalia; Carnivora; Canidae. The record is from RNAcentral.